This 694-nucleotide long non-coding RNA is filed under the name Salvia miltiorrhiza (redroot sage). RNAcentral describes it as "long non-coding RNA (SMIL_LNC004703)". The record is from RNAcentral. Lineage: Eukaryota; Viridiplantae; Streptophyta; Magnoliopsida; Lamiales; Lamiaceae.
CAACUGCCGCUCGCGUUCCGCGCUGCCGCUGUGUCGAGGAGAUUGAACCACCGCCGCUUCCAGUCUACUGCGUCGAGAAGAUUGAGGUACCACCGCUGGUCCGCUGCGUUUGUUUGAAUUUUUUUUAAAUUUUGUAAACCCCCAAAUUUUCCUAUGUUUUUCAAUUAGAUAAGAAUUUGAGUUUGUUUUUUCUUUUUGUGAAUGGUAGUGGAGGUCCGGACAGAGGGUAGCCGACUUUUGAGUGGAAUUGAAUUUUGCUAAUAGAUUUGUUAUUUUUUUUAGAAGAAUACAUUUGUUAUUUGUCAAUUAGCCGAUUAGAUUAUAGUUUUGCUUUUUUGAAAUUUGAAUACAUUUGAUACUUUUUAGUCAAUUUUCAGUGGAAUAAAAUUGUGAAUUAGCGAAUUGUAUAUUUCGGAGUUGUUGGUUAUGAAUGCUAAAUUGGAUUAAUUUAUUUUUUUAUAGGAAAUGGAACGUUUUUUUUCUAAAAAACGUAGAGGUCAACCAUCUUGUGAUUCAGCUACACCCGCUAUUGAAGCCAAUGUAGAAGUUGAAGCCAAUGUAGAAGAUGAAACAAAUUUUGAUGAAUACGUCCGUGAUCCGGGGUUAAGAAAGCCAAUUGAGGAGUUUCCUAUUACUAUUCGCGAUCAAACACGUAGAGAGUACUUAUCUAUGGGGCCUUGUCAAGUAGUUGGGC